GAAUUUGCUGAAAAAUUUGGCAUUAAAUAGGAACAUGAAUUCCCCUACUUGUAAAACUAUUGCUGGAAUUCUUGCACGGCAAUCUAGUAAGUCUUCGUGUUUUCUUCAUAUUAAGAAGAGGUUGUCCUCUAUGUUUAAUCUAUGUGCACCUAUCCAUCCUGAAUGCUCUUUUUUAAUGAAAACGAUGCAAGACCAAUGCGC
RNAcentral lists this unclassified non-coding RNA (201 nucleotides) under Hevea brasiliensis (rubber tree). The record is from RNAcentral. Lineage: Eukaryota; Viridiplantae; Streptophyta; Magnoliopsida; Malpighiales; Euphorbiaceae.